AAGACUAGUCUAACCAAGACCGCUAAUUUCGACUUAGCAUAUUCUGGAUGUACCCCAGAGUCUUU
RNAcentral lists this transfer RNA (65 nucleotides) under Rhineura floridana. RNAcentral describes it as "tRNA-Arg". The record is from RNAcentral. Lineage: Eukaryota; Metazoa; Chordata; Lepidosauria; Squamata; Rhineuridae.